RNAcentral lists this long non-coding RNA (6700 nucleotides) under Malus domestica (apple). Its description in RNAcentral is "long non-coding RNA (MDOM_LNC011935)". Lineage: Eukaryota; Viridiplantae; Streptophyta; Magnoliopsida; Rosales; Rosaceae. The record is from RNAcentral.
UACACAUUAUUAAAAAUAGAAAUAAAAUAGAAGUUUUAGAAAGAUUUAACCGAGAGAGAGAGAAGGCUUGCAGCUUCUGUCCACCUGACGUUGUCUCUGUCCUCCUCCCAUCCGCGCUACUCUCUUCUAACCUCUCUGACCUCCCUCUAUUUUCUUUCUAUUUUCUGUCCCUCACGCUGCCCAAAGGCAGCUUUCCGCUCUCCAAUUCCUGUUCCGUGUGCUUUUCUUCACACGCUGCCAAGGCAGCCCUCUCUCCUUUGCUCUCUCCACUCUCACGCUGCCCAAAAGGGCAGCUCCCUGUGCUCCCUUCUGCUUUCCGUCUCUCCCUGACCCCCAGCUGCCAAAGCAGCUUUUCUUUCCCCUUUUUUUCUUUCUAUUUUCUGUUGGUCUCUUUUAUUCCCUCCGCGUGGACUCCUCUUUUUUUCUUUUUUUUCUUUUUUUUCUCUGGCCAGCUGCAAAGGCAGCCCUUUUCCAUCCCCUUUCACGUGCUCUCCUCUCCCUCUAUUCACGCCUACUACUCUCUGCCUUGCUGCAAGAGGCAGCUUCCUAUUCUUUAUUUUUUAUUUUUUUCCACCUUAUUUCUCUGCAGGUUCUCUCCUCUCCCUUGGAUUCUUUUUCCGUCCGUUCCUUUCUUUUCUUCUACAAAACAAAACAAAACCAUCAUGAUGAUGUUUCAAACAUCAUCACGACUUAUCAUUAUUAAAUAUAAUUUUUUAAUUUAAUUUAAAAGCUGAUCUACACAGACAGUUUUGACGAAUUUAUUACAUAAAAUUUCACUUGUUCUAUUUUUAUUUUCUUUGCAUAACAAAUCCUAUAAACACAAAAAUAACGUAAAUAGCUCAAAAAUAUAAGGAACUAACUAAGAAAAGACGAGUGAAUUCGAAGUAAAAAUAUAUAUAAAUAUGAUCCGAUCAAAUACCCCCACACUUAACUUUUGCUAGUCCUCGAGCAAAACAAAGAAAUUAUGAAAAAGUAAUAACAUGAAAAACAUUAGCUUCCCUCUAUGUGACCCUCAUAGAAUUUCAUUCAAGAAAACAAAUCAUCAAGAACCAUAGCUAGCAUCAAGGAACUAAUCCAAGUUCAUCUUCCUUAUUCAAAUAUUAGCAGUAAUCUUUAAAUCAUCCUUGAAGUGUAGUGUGUGAGAUAGCCAUGCUAAUGCAAUUUCAAGUUUUUAUUUUUAAAAUCAUCAUAUGCAAACUAGCGACCUUCUCACGGGAUAUGCACUCAAUCACACAUGUGUUUAGUUUUAAUGUGUUUCGCUCAAAGAAACAAAUGUAAAAUUUCUACCAUAAGCUUGCAUAAAGAUCACUUCUCCACAGUCAUAAUUGCAAAACUUAAAUCAAGAGGACUUUUAUUGGAUGUAAUGAGGCUUAGGGAUAGGGUUAUUGAAAUGAAAGAAUAGGAAAACACAAGUUCCAAGCUACAUUGCAAGCAAUUCUUUUCUUUAGAUUUAUAAGAACUCAAGCUCUCCAGCAAUUCUUCUAGCACCUCCAACCAUACUCUUAAACUGAAACUUUAAAAACUUUUUAUUUUCUUUGUAUACAAUCUUUCUUUCUUUUUUUUUUUUUUUUUUUUUUUUUUUUUUUUUUUUUUUUUUAAAUACAAACAUGAAAUACCCCCACACUUAUUCUUUUGCCAAACACCUUUAAAGUACUUCACAAACAUUUCUCAUAAGACAAUCUCGCAUUGCUCGCUUGGAAAGGGUAAGGAAAAAUAUUUCAGGUAUAAGGGUAGACAUAUCUGGUGAUAAGAAAUAAAAGGCUCAACAAACACGGCUCAAAUUGGCAAUCUAAUGAUAUCAUUUUUUCUGUUGGGAAACAUGGUUAUUUGGGCCAUGGUGGUAAACUUAAUGCCUCCAUCAUUUCCAAGUUCAUGCAAUCAAUGACAAACAUUUCGAAAGAUCGUUACGCAAGUUCUAGAGAUGUAUCUCACAUAAGUUCAUCACACAUGAAAGAAUAGGAGUGUAUGAAAAAUGCACACACUUUCAAUAGGCUCAAAAACUCACAUAGGAUGUAUAUGGUCACUAAAUUCACAUAUGAAGCUUUAAGUCAUACUUUAGUUUCACAUUAACAAGGUUAUGUGCAUUUGGUUUUUCAAAGAUGAUCAAACAUGUACAAAACUAACAAGAGAAUUAGGAAUUUCACAAAACACAUGAUAACUAAGUUCUUGAUAAUCAUGAUUCAAAUUCGAUCUAAUUAUAUCAUUGGGUCGGGAAACUAACAAAAAAUCUAAUUCAAAACAAUAAGGGAAACAAGACAAUAUUUUUGGAUUUUUUAAAUUUUCCGAUUUUUUUUUUUAUAGAGAAAACAAAACUAAAAAAAAAUAAAAAAUAAAAAGCAACAACACAGAAACAAAUGAAAUUCUAGAGAUUUCUACCCCCACACUUAAACUUGACAUUGUCCCCAAUGUCAGAAAACACUAUAAUGCAAAAAUAAAUAAAAUAAACAAAAUAAUAAAAAAAACAAAAUAAAGCAAUUGGACUGAAAACUUCCCUAAUUUGCAGUAAAAUCAAGCGAUGACCCUCAAGCUAAAAUUCUGCAAUCAACUUCAAGGGUGGAAAUAACCAAAAGUUCCUGCAAAGAAAAGGAAAAAUUCAGUUAAGUACGCAAGAAAAUUAAUUAAAAAAAAUUGCAAACGAAAAAUUGAAAAUUACGAUAAAAGAUAAUGAAUAAAACUAAUAAGUAAUCAUUGGUCGUGCUUGUUGACUUUCCACAGCUUUCCUCUUGAACAGGGUGACACUUAGCUUUUUCACUUGCAAGUGAUGAUUUUAUGAUAUUGUACGGCGAAGCUUUGCUCUUUGGUUAUGUUGCAGUUCCUUAUUUGUUCUCCAAGCAGAUGUGGCAGCUUCUCUAGUUCCUCAGUUCGGACUCCUUCCGCUGGGAUGAUUGUGCAAGCUGCAUUCUUCUCUGCUUGUUUCUUCUGCACAACGGGCAGGCACGAGGGAAAGGUGUUGGUCCUUAUUUCUUUCUUCAAUCUUUCCAAGUGCCCACCUCUUGCUUUCUUUCUCCUUGUCCCUAGCUGAAUUGUCUCCACAUGCUUCGAGGUAUCAUUUUCACUUCCCUUACUGUCCCCCAGGCAGAUGUGGUAGACGAAGAGAAAGCAUAAAAUGAUGAAGAUGAGUACUCGAGAGCAAGGCUAGGUAAGCAAUCAGGAAGGGGUUCCAGGCAGUUGGCUCCAGAUUGGAAGAUUGAUACCAAAUGCUGGCUGAUUGCUCUCUUUCUCCUUGUCGGAAAACAAAGACAAGGAGAAGGACAUGGAGAAAGCAUGAUAUGAGAUACUCUUGCUUUCAACCUUUAUGAUAUGAAAUACUUUUGCUUUGAAUGGGUUGUUCGCAGGAGUAUCCCAAGGAAUGAGGAACACAGAGUGACUCGAGAGGAUUCUUUGGGAAUGCAUUUUCGGAGAUGAAGAGGUGUUGAGAGGGUGUGCUGAGAGAGUGUGCUUUUGCUGUGGAAGGCGAAGGUAGAAACUUAUAGGACUUGUCUUCACAACCGGAACUGUUCUCUCACUUAGUGUCGGCAGCCGGUGGAUGGGUGAAGAAUACAAAUUACGCGCUUUCUGACAAAGCUGCCCGUAAUUUCCGCAAAGCUGAUUCCUCAUUGAUAUCUGUAAUCGGCGCUUCGAGCUCUGAGCAUCGUCGAUUGUAGAGGUAGCAUGUGACACGUGCGGAUAAAUCUGGAAAAGAAGAUUUUUCCCGUGGGUUGAAGCCCAGCUUUUGAGAAAGCUAGCGUGUCUUUGACUGUUGAAUUUCCCUCUUCGAUUUCUGAAUUGGUGCUUCGACAAAUUGCCCGAGAUUUCCGCAAAGCAAUUUGCGUUUGACAAGUGACGACACGUCUGGACAAAUUGAUCUUUUGAAAUCCGGGGUUCGGCUCGUGGUUUCUGAGCAAGCCCAGCCUUUAAGAAAUGAAACGCCUCUUUUGAGAAAAGAAUCCGGCUUUUGAGAAAGGAAACUCCUCUUUUGAGAAAAGAAUCAGACGUUUGAGAACGGAGCCCUGACUCUUCGAUUUGCGAGAGGACGCUUCUCUGAGGAGCGCCUCUUUGAUUUCUUCCUUUUUAUAGAGACGUUAAGCUUGUUCCACAACACACUUGAGUACCCUCCUGUAAACACUCCCUUCUUGCACUUGUUUAAUCUUGAUCAUUCCGACUCUCUUCUUUCUUUACCACCUCUGAAAAAUGUCUGGCCCUUCUGAUCGUCGUUUUGACUUGAACAUUGGUGAAGAGGCAGCUCCUCCUUCACCAGACAACAUAUGGCGGCCAUCCUUCAUAUCCCCUACCGGUCCCCUUACCGUGGGGGAUUCGAUGAUGAAAAAUGACAUGACCGCUGCGGUGGUGGCCCGAAACCUUGUCACUCCCAGAGAUAACAGACUGCUCGCAAGGCGGUCUGAUGAAUUGGCGGUCAAGGAGUCUCUGGCUCUCAGUGUGCAGUGUGCGGGUUCCGUAUCCAACAUGGCCCAACGCCUAUAUGCCCGAACCCGUCACGUUGAAUCCUUGGUGGCUGAAAUACAGAGUCUCAAGUAAGAGAUUAAAGGGCUCAAGCAUGAGAAUAAGGAAUUGCACAAGCUCGCACACAGCUAUGCCACCAGCAUGAAGAGGAAGAUUGACCAGAUGCAGGACACCGAUGGUCAAAUUUUACUUGAUCAUCGGAGGUUUGUGGGUUUGUUCCAACCGCAUCUGCCUUCGUCUUCAGGGGCGGCACCGCGUAGUGAAGCUCCAACUGAUCAACCUCUGCCGCCUCCUCUUUCUGUGGCCCCGCCGACUGCUGAAGCCCCGCCUACUACUGAAGCACCACCCGACCAAUGAAUACUAUUAGUUUACAUCAUUGUAAAAUAUUUGUACUUUUUUUUUUUUUCUUUUUUUUUUUUUAUUUAUUUAUUUUUUUUUAUGUAAUUUUUUUUUAUUUAUCAUUAAUUUUAAAUUUUAUCUUUUUUUUUUUUUUUUAUUUUUUAUAUCUUUUUUUUUUAUUUUUUUUUUUAUUUUUUUUUUAUGUAAAUUAAAGUAGAAAGACUUUGGUUAACCUUCCCCCACACUUAAACUAAAUAAUACAAACUCACAGAAAUCAAACAAAUAACACAACUAACUAAACAAAACAAAAUGAAAGCAGUAAAGAUAAGGGUGUAAAAUUGCAAAUCUGAUUGGGUUAGCGAUUCCAAAGUCUCCCUUCGUUGAAUGCUUGGGUUGCCUCCCAAGAAGCGCUUGAUUUAACGUCUUUAGCCGGACGCAUCUUUCCUUUAAAUUUCCCUCAGCUCCAUUUGUGCCUAAAAUCAAAGAAAGAAAAAUAAAUCAAAUAUCAAAAGUAAAAUACACAAACACCAAUAUAAACAUAAACAAAAACAAAAAUAAAAGGAUUAGCAAAGUUACUAAUCCCCGGCAACGGCGCCAAAAUUUGAUGCGUAAAAUAAGUUCACACACAAAAUUAAACCCUCUUUUUGUCAAUUGUAGUAUAAGUAUAAGUAGGGUAUCGUUCUAGGCCGGGGAUUAGGAGGGCUUGCUAAAACCUCUUAAAAACAUAAAAAACAAAGUAAAAAAUAUUAAACAAGACUCAAGGACACAAAACUAGGCUAAAAACUCUAAUAAUUCGAAACACACUUAAAAUGACUCAAAAUAAUAAAAACAAUCAAAAUAGACACUAGGAAUUGAAAUGGACGGAAAUUGAAUUAAAAGACUAACAACAAUGAAAACUAACUAAAUAAUAUAAUUUAAUAAUGGGGGGUUUGGUUUUGAUGAGAAGUAAAUUAAACUUAAAUAAAUUACAGAAUUGACAAAAAACAUGAAAUUAAGGUGAAAGGAUAGGUGAUGGAUUAGCUAGAGGGUUCUUCUCCACACAUGACACAUAUGCAACCUAAAUUGAUUUUCAGUUGUUCUUUCAAUAAGUUGUGAAUCUCAACACUUCAGAUUAACCGUGAACAUCACUUUUUUAAUCUUCAAGUUUUCCUUAAGUUAUUGAAUUGGACGGGAAAACGCAUACAACAAUUCAAAACAUUCUUCAAAAGUCCCCUACGUGAAAAGCACAAUAGAGAUACAAUCAAAGAUCAUUAAACUUUGUGAAAACUAUAAGCAUUGACGAGGCAUUCGUAACUAUGAAAAGCAUGAUACUCUUGCCAAGAAUUUACUUAACACGAUUGUAGAUAACAACCUUCACUACUUGUGAAUAUAAGUUCAUAACGAUUAGGUGAAAUUCAUUUAUAUUCUAGCAUCAAAUUCAUGCAUGUAAAUUAAGUAUGCAUCCUUAAUCGACAUACAAAAAUAAGUUAUCAAUCAAGCAGUUAAGCAAAUUAAAUCACAACUUAGAAAUCACAACUGAAGGUAAUCAAUUCAUAUUACAAAUAUAUCAUGGCUUUGAAUUAACCUCUAGCCAAAAUCAAUUUAUUUACACAUUAUUAAAAAUAGAAAUAAAAUAGAAGUUUUAGAAAGAUUUAACCGAGAGAGAGAAGGCUUGCAGCUUCUGUCCACCUGACGUUGUCUCUGUCCUCCUCCCAUCCGCGCUACUCUCUUCUAACCUCUCUGACCUCCCUCUAUUUUCUUUCUAUUUUCUGUCCCUCACGCUGCCCAAAGGCAGCUUUCUGCUCUCCAAUUCCUGUUCCGUGUGCUUUUCUUCACACGCUGCCAAGGCAGCCCUCUCUCCUUUGCUCUCUCCACUCUCACGCUGCCCAAAAGGGCAGCUCCCUGUGCUCCCUUCUGCUUUCCGUCUCUCCCUGACCCCCCA